This 588-nucleotide ribosomal RNA is filed under the name uncultured bacterium. RNAcentral's name for it is "bacterial SSU rRNA". It matches the Rfam family "Bacterial small subunit ribosomal RNA", at positions 56 to 647 of the family's 1533-position model. The record is from RNAcentral.
UGCAGUCGACGGUAGAGUAGCAUUACUCGAGAGUGGCGAACGGGUGAGUAAUAUAUCGGAACGUGCCCAGUCGUGGGGGAUAACGUAGAGAAAUUUACGCUAAUACCGCAUACGAUCUAAGGAUGAAAGCGGGGGAUCGCAAGACCUCGCGCGAUAGGAGCGGCUGAUAUCAGAUUAGGUUGUUGGUGAGGUAAAAGCUCACCAAGCCGACGAUCUGUAGCUGGUUUGAGAGAACGACCAGCCACACUGGGACUGAGACACGGCCCAGACUCCUACGGGAGGCAGCAGUGGGGAAUUUUGGACAAUGGGCGCAAGCCUGAUCCAGCCAUGCCGCGUGCGGGAAGAAGGCCUUCGGGUUGUAAACCGCUUUUGUCAGGGAAGAAACGCUUUGGGCUAAUACCCCGAAGUAAUGACGGUACCUGAAGAAUAAGCACCGGCUAACUACGUGCCAGCAGCCGCGGUAAUACGUAGGGUGCAAGCGUUAAUCGGAAUUACUGGGGCGUAAAGCGUGCGCAGGCGGUCUUGCAAGACAGAUGUGAAAUCCCCGGGCUCAACCUGGGAACUGCAUUUGUGACUGCAAGCUAGAGU